UUUGGCAGUAUUCAUACUAAAAAAAAAUUGGAGUGAUACAGAGAAUAUUAGCAUGGCCCCUGUGCAAGGAUGACAUGCAAAUUUGUGAAGCAUUCCAUUUUUUA
Eptesicus fuscus (big brown bat) is the source of this 104-nucleotide small nuclear RNA. The record is from RefSeq and is a predicted model, not a curated record. Lineage: Eukaryota; Metazoa; Chordata; Mammalia; Chiroptera; Vespertilionidae.